RNAcentral lists this ribosomal RNA (484 nucleotides) under uncultured bacterium. RNAcentral describes it as "partial 16S ribosomal RNA". It matches the Rfam family "Bacterial small subunit ribosomal RNA", at positions 30 to 507 of the family's 1533-position model. The record is from RNAcentral.
AUUGAACGCUGGCGGCAGGCCUAACACAUGCAAGUCGAGCGGAUGAAGGGAGCUUGCUCCUGGAUUCAGCGGCGGACGGGUGAGUAAUGCCUAGGAAUCUGCCUGGUAGUGGGGGAUAACGUCCGGAAACGGGCGCUAAUACCGCAUACGUCCUGAGGGAGAAAGUGGGGGAUCUUCGGACCUCACGCUAUCAGAUGAGCCUAGGUCGGAUUAGCUAGUUGGUGGGGUAAAGGCCUACCAAGGCGACGAUCCGUAACUGGUCUGAGAGGAUGAUCAGUCACACUGGAACUGAGACACGGUCCAGACUCCUACGGGAGGCGGCAGUGGGGAAUAUUGGACAAUGGGCGAAAGCCUGAUCCAGCCAUGCCGCGUGUGUGAAGAAGGUCUUCGGAUUGUAAAGCACUUUAAGUUGGGAGGAAGGGCAGUAAGUUAAUACCUUGCUGUUUUGACGUUACCAACAGAGUAAGCACCGGCUAACUUCGUG